This 445-nucleotide ribosomal RNA is filed under the name uncultured bacterium. Its description in RNAcentral is "partial 16S ribosomal RNA". It matches the Rfam family "Bacterial small subunit ribosomal RNA", at positions 331 to 793 of the family's 1533-position model. The record is from RNAcentral.
CCAGACUCCUACGGGAGGCAGCAGUGGGGAAUAUUGCACAAUGGGGGGAACCCUGAUGCAGCGACGCCGCGUGGGUGAAGGAGCACCUCGGUGCGUAAAGCCCUAUCGGCAGGGAAGAAACAGACGGUACCUGACUAAGAAGCCCCGGCUAACUACGUGCCAGCAGCCGCGGUAAUACGUAGGGGGCGAGCGUUAUCCGGAUUCACUGGGUGUAAAGGGAGCGUAGACGGCCAAGCAAGCCAGGGGUGAAAGCCCGGGGCCCAACCCCGGGACUGCUCUUGGAACUGCGCGGCUGGAGUGCUGGAGGGGCAGGCGGAAUUCCUGGUGUAGCGGUGAAAUGCGUAGAUAUCAGGAGGAACACCGGUGGCGAAGGCGGCCUGCUGGACUGCGACUGACGUUGAGGCCCGAAAGCGUGGGGAGCAAACAGGAUUAGAUACCCGUGUAU